CAAUAGCGUAUAUUAAAGUUGUUGCAGUUAAAAAGCUCGUAGUUGAAUUUCUGUCAGGAGUGACCGGGCCUUUGGAUGAACUUCCAUUGUUUUUGCUCUGUUUGUCGUCUCUAGACAUCCUGAAAUAUUUUUUUUGAAAUAUUUCUCUUUUACUGUUAGCAAAAUAGAGUGUUCCAAGCAAAGCGUAGUUUUGAAUACAUUAGAAUGGAAUAAUAAGAUAGGACUUUGGUGCUAUUUUGUUGGUUUGCACACCAAGGUAAUGAUUAAUAGGGACAGUUGGGGGUAUUCGUAUUUAAUUGUCAGAGGUGAAAUUCUUGGAUUUAUGAAAGACGAACUACUGCGAAAGCAUUUACCAAGGAUGUUUUCAUUA
Molecule: ribosomal RNA, 370 nt
Filed under: uncultured eukaryote
Lineage: Eukaryota
Description: partial 18S ribosomal RNA
Rfam family: Eukaryotic small subunit ribosomal RNA
Source: RNAcentral